UGCGGCCGCUCCCGUCCUUCUCUCCCGGCUUCCAAUUCCGAGCAGGCUCCCUGACCAGGUUCCCCGGGAAGCGCGGAAAGCGUCGUGCACCCAGAAGCGUCAGAUACCAGGGCCACAAGAAAGCCAGAUCUGCAGUUGGUAAUUACGAGAGAAAACACCCAGCCUCGACAUCAGUUUCGCUAACCUAUACUUGAAAAUGGAAAACGGGUUUUCUGGGUUUGCCAGCGCAUCGCUGCAACUAAUGAUUAAAGAAACCAAACCGAAACUUACCUUUCUCCCUUAAGGUUUUUGUGUAUGUGUGUUUUUAAAGUAACGGUGCAGUUCUCCCAAUAAGGAUGAGCAAGAAGCUGCUGGAUAGUUCUCUUAAGACAGCACGAAACCUAAACUGUGCUCGGCUUAAAAGAAGCAAAUAAAAAGAAAUGCUUUCGACCCCAAAGUCCAACGCUAAAAGAAAUGGCAAAAAAAAAAAAAAUACGAACGGGGAGGGGAAACUUAAAAAAGAGAGUUUAAAAAGACGGAGAGACUACCCUCCUAUUGCCUUUCAACUAAACAAAAAGGGGCAAGAAAAACAAACGAAGGAACAAAGAAAGAGACGAAAGAACGUUUUUUCAAAAAGACGAUGUCUUUCUCCUUGUUGCUUUUUAGUAGGUCGCUACAGGAGUAAGCUGCUGCAUCUCUAACUGAGAACAGAAAUAAGGGGGGAGGACGUCUUAAAAGGGAGGUGGACUAGACCACAGAUUUAUAGCACGGUAUCACCAACCCCUUCUCUGCCUCCGCACUGCCGUGUGUGCAGCUGCUCGGCCAGGCUCCUAUCCCAAGCAGCACGCGCGGAAGUAUACGCUAGGUCGCCUCACAACGCAACUUGCUCAUCUCCCUAGGAUCCUGAUUGGCCUAGACGGUUCUAUUGAGUCCGCCCAAGCGAGGCCGCGCUACAUGAUUGGCUAGGAGCUUGUGUCACUCUCGAGAGCUCAAUGGAGUCCCGUUUCAAGACCUGCGUGGAAAUCAGGGGAAGAAGAAAGCAAAGCUUUUUGAAGAAAGAGAGUAAAGGGGUGGAGGAAACAACAAAUCAAGGGAAGAAAACAGAAAGUCUCCACCUCAUCCACAAUAAUCAAUGUAUGAAUAAACAGCUGGAAGAUUCCGUUUGUUGUCAUUUUCCUUCAAACAUUCCUUUCCCCCCUAGAUCUGUACAAAAAAUAAAAUAAUAAAUGCCAGUUGGGUAAAAGUGUAAUACUGUUUAGUCAGAAUUACCAAUGAAGUAAAUUGUCUUUUCUCCUUGUUAAUAUGCUCUUAAUAUUGAAUGAGUUGCAUUUGAGCAUGUAAUAUUUUCAGCAAUUUGAAGAAAAUCUUUACCUUUAGCUUACAAUUACAUAAGUUUUAUCUAACUGUGGAAACUAAUACUUUGUUUAUUUUGUGAUGUUUGUAUCCACAAGAAAGGUUUUGUAGGUAACAGGAGUAAAUUUUUCCAAGAUUUGGGGGAGGGUGGAUAUGGAAAGUUGGGUGUGGUGUGGAGUGAUGAAAAUCCAGCAUGUGUGUUACGUCAUUAAAGAAAUUAACCUGAAAAAUGGUAAACUUGUCCACUCAAACGCAAAAUGCUAAAUUCUACUCAUUCAGUAUAUAUACAUUUUUCAGGUUUUUUCA
Long non-coding RNA from Odocoileus virginianus texanus, 1638 nucleotides. RefSeq lists it as uncharacterized. The record is from RefSeq and is a predicted model, not a curated record. NCBI's taxonomy places the organism in Eukaryota, Metazoa, Chordata, Mammalia, Artiodactyla, Cervidae.